Molecule: long non-coding RNA, 777 nt
Organism: Coregonus clupeaformis (lake whitefish)
Lineage: Eukaryota; Metazoa; Chordata; Actinopteri; Salmoniformes; Salmonidae
Exons: 3
Source: RefSeq, a predicted model, not a curated record
GAUUUUGUUGUUGUUGAUCUAUUCAACUUUUAGAUACAUUUGCAAUGUAUUUUUCUUUAUUCCAGAAUCCAUAUAUGCAUACCCAGCAGGACAUCGGCAGGCGUGCUUAUAGACAACAACAAGUGGACUACACAAGCCAAGUCUGUAAGGGCACAUGUCCAGGCAUGUUUUACCAGCGAGUCAUCUAGAGAGCUUUUCCCCAGCAGGUGGAAUGGGAGACUCCAAACAUUGAUGUGAAUGUAUGUUCUCCUCUGCUUUUUUUGGACCUCUUUUUCUGGAUACUUUUGCUCAGGACUCUUAUUUUUGUUGUUGUUGAUGACUGUAAGGUCUAGGGUUGACCUCUGUUAAUCAACGUAUCACCCAUGCUACAGAGGUAGUCAAUGGGCUAGUGGACAAACCAAAACAGAUACCCAGAUGACCACACAAGUGAAACUUAACUUCGGACAGGGACACAGACACACACUGCUACAUUGUCUUUCUCAUUUUACAAUUUAAAAAACACUAACAAUACCAAAUUACUCAUGAACCAUUAAGAGAGAUCAACAUUUAAGUGCUUUAUUAAAAGGUAAAACAAAAAUAACAGGAGUCAUACAUGUAUCUCUGUCUAUAUAUUUAUACAUGGUGAAAAUAAUGGGCUUGUAGCACAGUUCUCUAGCACAUACAAGUGCAAGCUAAAUGUCUGAAGUGAACUGCCUUACUGCCUCAACUCAACUCAUCUCUAACUACAGACUCCAUCACUCUCCAUCUUAUUAUUAUCAUCUGAAGCUGUGGAAGCCA